GUCUUUUUGGUAUUAAUUUAAGGUUUAGCCUGCCCAAUGAAAAUUUGAAUGGCCGCGGUAUUUUGACUGUGCUAAGGUAGCAUAAUCAUUAGUUUUUUAAUUAAAAGCUGGAAUGAAGGGUUGGAUGAAAAAUUAACUGUCUCUAAUUAAUUUUAUUAGAAUUUUAUUUUUAAGUUAAAAAGCUUAAAUAAUUUUAAAAGACGAGAAGACCCUAUAGAGUUUAAUAUAUUUAAUUUAUUAAUAUUAAGAAUUUACUUUUUAUAAUUAUAAUAUAUUUAAUUGGGGUGAUUAAAAAAUUUAAUAAACUUUUUUUAUAAAUUUAUAUUGGUUAAUAAAUUAAUGAUCCAAAAAUUUUGAUUAUAAGAUAAAUUACCUUAGGGAUAACAGCGUAAUUUUAUUAGAGAGUUCUAAUCGAAAAUAAAGUUUGCGA
RNAcentral lists this ribosomal RNA (430 nucleotides) under Longitarsus exsoletus. Its description in RNAcentral is "partial 16S large subunit ribosomal RNA". Lineage: Eukaryota; Metazoa; Arthropoda; Insecta; Coleoptera; Chrysomelidae. The record is from RNAcentral.